GCUAAAAACCUAGCCCCAACCUUUCCCGUCCCUCCCCCAAAAUUUUUACUAAAUAAGAUAAAACAUUUUAAGAUUCAAGUAAAGGUGAUAGAAAAAUUAAUUAGAGCUAUACAUAUAGUACCGCAAGGGAAAGGUGAAAUAAAAAUGAAAAAAACAUUUAAGCAUAAAAAAGUAAAGAUAUACCCUUGUACCUUUUGCAUCAUGGUUUAACCAGUCAUAAUCAAGCAAAAUGAAUUUAAGUUUGUUCCCCCGAAACUAAGCGAGCUACUCCAAGGCAGCUUCAUGAGCCAACCCGUCUCUGUAGCAAUAGAGUGGGAAGACCUUCGAGUAGAGGUGACAGACCAAACGAGCUUAGUGAUAGCUGGUUGCCCAGUAAAAGAAUUUUAGUUCCCCCUAAAGCUAUCAAUUUAAUGCACACAAGCAAACCCACCCGCUUUAGAGCUAUUCAAAUAAGGUACAGCCUAUUUGAACCAGGACACAACCUCCACUAAUGGGUAAUACUCCAACAAUUUAAUAAAGUAGGCCUAAAAGCAGCCACCUUUAAAACAGCGUCAAAGCCUACCUCCCCCUACCUACCCCCUUAUUAUUACAUAAAUUACCUAAAACCCUUUACCCCCACCGGGCAAUUCUAUACAUUAUAUAGAACCUAUUAUGUUAAAACUAGUAACAAGAAGUAAACCCUUCUCUUUAAUUCAAGCAUAAGACAGAAUGGAUAAGCCACUGUCGAUUAACAUACAUGACCCCCAAUUAGCAACUCUACAAGAAAACCCUAAUUAAACCCAAUGUUAACCUAACACAAGCGCAUUUCAAGAAAGAUUAAAAAAAAAAGAAGGAACUCGGCAAACAUUAACCCCGCCUGUUUACCAAAAACAUCGCCUCUUGAUUAACAAAUAAGAGGUCCAGCCUGCCCAGUGACACAGUUCAACGGCCGCGGUAUACUAACCGUGCGAAGGUAGCGUAAUCACUUGUUCUUUAAAUGAGGACUAGUAUGAAUGGCACCACGAGGGUUUAACUGUCUCCUUUUUUCAAUCAGUGAAACUAAUCUCCCCGUGAAGAAGCGGGGAUUAAUCUAUAAGACGAGAAGACCCCGUGGAGCUUAAAAUAAGAACACUUGCAACAAUUAUUGUACUUCCAGAAUCAUUACAAAAAGUACACCACUAUGACAAUUAUUUUUAGAUUGGGGUGAUCACGGAGUAAAAACUAACCUCCAUGCUGAAAGGACUAGCUCCUGAGCAAUAAGCUACAACUUUAUGCACUAACAAAUUAACACAUUUGACCCAAUAUUUUGAUCAACGAACCAAGUUACCCCAGGGAUAACAGCGCAAUCCGCUUCAAGAGCCCAUAUCGACAAGCGGGUUUACGACCUCGAUGUUGGAUCAGGGUAUCCCAGUGGUGCAGCCGCUACUAAUGGUUCGUUUGUUCAACGAUUAAAACCCU
Molecule: ribosomal RNA, 1437 nt
Filed under: Hypsiboas sp. CWM 19512
Lineage: Eukaryota; Metazoa; Chordata; Amphibia; Anura; Hylidae
Description: partial 16S ribosomal RNA
Rfam family: Bacterial large subunit ribosomal RNA
Source: RNAcentral